This 28-nucleotide non-coding RNA is filed under the name Mus musculus (house mouse). The record is from RNAcentral. Lineage: Eukaryota; Metazoa; Chordata; Mammalia; Rodentia; Muridae.
GACAGUGACUCAGUCAUUACCCAGGAAC